GCUGAGGUAGCCUAGCUCGGCCAAGGCGCCAGAUUCGAGAUCUGGUGGUGCGUAUGCAUCGCGGGAGUUCAAAGGGGACCCGGCCACCUGUCCGGGUCUCGGAAGCUCUCCCCCUCAGCG
RNAcentral lists this transfer RNA (120 nucleotides) under Thermoplasmata archaeon. RNAcentral's name for it is "tRNA-Ser". It matches the Rfam family "tRNA". From Rfam's summary of the family: Transfer RNA (tRNA) molecules are approximately 80 nucleotides in length. Their secondary structure includes four short double-helical elements and three loops (D, anti-codon, and T loops). Lineage: Archaea; Methanobacteriati; Thermoplasmatota; Thermoplasmata. The record is from RNAcentral.